AGUGAACGCUGGCGGCAGGCCUAAUACAUGCAAGUCGAACGGCAGCACAGCAGAGCUUGCUCUGUGGGUGGCGAGUGGCGGACGGGUGAGGAAUACAUGGGAAUCUGCCCAGUCGUGGGGGAUAACGUAUGGAAACGUACGCUAAUACCGCAUGCGCCCUACGGGGGAAAGCCGGGGACCGAAAGGCCUGGCGCGAUUGGAUGAGCCCAUGUUCGAUUAGCUAGUUGGCGGGGUAAAGGCCCACCAAGGCGACGAUCGAUAGCUGGUCUGAGAGGAUGAUCAGCCACACUGGAACUGAGACACGGUCCAGACUCCUACGGGAGGCAGCAGUAGGGAAUAUUGGACAAUGGGGGCAACCCUGAUCCAGCCAUGCCGCGUGAGUGAAGAAGGCCCUCGGGUUGUAAAGCUCUUUUGUCCGGAAAGAAAAGCAUUCGGUUAAUACCCGGGUGUUCUGACGGUACCGGAAGAAUAAGCACCGGCUAACUUCGUGCCAGCAG
Molecule: ribosomal RNA, 497 nt
Filed under: uncultured bacterium
Lineage: Bacteria
Description: bacterial SSU rRNA
Rfam family: Bacterial small subunit ribosomal RNA
Source: RNAcentral